RNAcentral lists this ribosomal RNA (574 nucleotides) under Penicillium crustosum. RNAcentral describes it as "eukaryotic LSU rRNA". The stretch from base 204 to 356 matches the Rfam family "5.8S ribosomal RNA". The record is from RNAcentral. Lineage: Eukaryota; Fungi; Ascomycota; Eurotiomycetes; Eurotiales; Aspergillaceae.
UCCGUAGGUGACUGCGGAGGAUCAUUACCGAGUGAGGGCCCUCUGGGUCCAACCUCCCACCCGUGUUUAUUUUACCUUGUUGCUUCGGCGGGCCCGCCUUAACUGGCCGCCGGGGGGCUUACGCCCCCGGGCCCGCGCCCGCCGAAGACACCCUCGAACUCUGUCUGAAGAUUGAAGUCUGAGUGAAAAUAUAAAUUAUUUAAAACUUUCAACAACGGAUCUCUUGGUUCCGGCAUCGAUGAAGAACGCAGCGAAAUGCGAUACGUAAUGUGAAUUGCAAAUUCAGUGAAUCAUCGAGUCUUUGAACGCACAUUGCGCCCCCUGGUAUUCCGGGGGGCAUGCCUGUCCGAGCGUCAUUGCUGCCCUCAAGCCCGGCUUGUGUGUUGGGCCCCGUCCCCCGAUCUCCGGGGGACGGGCCCGAAAGGCAGCGGCGGCACCGCGUCCGGUCCUCGAGCGUAUGGGGCUUUGUCACCCGCUCUGUAGGCCCGGCCGGCGCUUGCCGAUCAACCCAAAUUUUUAUCCAGGUUGACCUCGGAUCAGGUAGGGAUACCCGCUGAACUUAAGCAUAUCAAUA